RNAcentral lists this ribosomal RNA (473 nucleotides) under uncultured organism. Its description in RNAcentral is "partial 16S ribosomal RNA". It matches the Rfam family "Bacterial small subunit ribosomal RNA", at positions 332 to 797 of the family's 1533-position model. The record is from RNAcentral.
UACACUCCUGCGGGAGGCAGCAGUGGGGAAUUUUGGACAAUGGGCGAAAGCCUGAUCCAGCAAUGCCGCGUGAGUGAAGAAGGCCUUCGGGUUGUAAAGCUCUUUUGUCAGGGAAGAAACGGUGAAAGCUAAUAUCUUUUGCUAAUGACGGUACCUGAAGAAUAAGCACCGGCUAACUACGUGCCAGCAGCCGCGGUAAUACGUAGGGUGCAAGCGUUAAUCGGAAUUACUGGGCGUAAAGCGUGCGCAGGCGGUUUUGUAAGUCUGAUGUGAAAUCCCCGGGCUCAACCUGGGAAUUGCAUUGGAGACUGCAAGGCUAGAAUCUGGCAGAGGGGGGUAGAAUUCCACGUGUAGCAGUGAAAUGCGUAGAUAUGUGGAGGAACACCGAUGGCGAAGGCAGCCCCCUGGGUCAAGAUUGACGCUCAUGCACGAAAGCGUGGGGAGCAAACAGGAUUAGAAACCCGAGUAGUCCC